AUUGAACGCUGGCGGCAGGCUUAACACAUGCAAGUCGAGCGGAAGAAGCCAGCUUGCUCCUGGAUUCAGCGGCGGACGGGUGAGUAAUGCGUAGGAAUCUGCCUCGGAGUGGGGGAUUACGUCCGGAAACGGGCGCUAAUACCGCAUACGUCCUGAGGGAGAGAGUGGGGGAUCUUCGGUCCUCACGCUAUCAGAUGAGCUUACGUCGGAUUAGCUAGUUGGUGGGGUAAAGGCCUACCAAGGCGACGAUCCGUAACUGGUCUGAGAGGAUGAUCAGUCACACUGGAACUGAGACACGGUCCAGACUCCUACGGGAGGCAGCAGUGGGGAAUAUUGGACAAUGGGCGAAAGCCUGAUCCAGCCAUGCCGCGUGUGUGAAGAAGGGCUUCGGAUUGUAAAGCACUUUAGGUUGGGAGGAAGCGCAGUAAGUUAAUACCUUGCUGUUUUGACGGUACCAACAGAAUAAGCACCGGCUAACUACGUG
Molecule: ribosomal RNA, 484 nt
Filed under: uncultured bacterium
Lineage: Bacteria
Description: partial 16S ribosomal RNA
Rfam family: Bacterial small subunit ribosomal RNA
Source: RNAcentral